GUGAGUAACCUGCCCUUAACUCUGGGAUAAGCCUGGGAAACUGGGUCUAAUACCGGAUAGGAGCGCCCACCGCAUGGUGGGUGUUGGAAAGAUUUAUCGGUUUUGGAUGGACUCGCGGCCUAUCAGCUUGUUGGUGAGGUAAUGGCUCACCAAGGCGACGACGGGUAGCCGGCCUGAGAGGGUGACCGGCCACACUGGGACUGAGACACGGCCCAGACUCCUACGGGAGGCAGCAGUGGGGAAUAUUGCACAAUGGGCGCAAGCCUGAUGCAGCGACGCCGCGUGAGGGAUGACGGCCUUCGGGUUGUAAACCUCUUUCAGUAGGGAAGAAGCGAAAGUGACGGUACCUGCAGAAGAAGCACCGGCUAACUACGUGCCAGCAGCCGCGGUAAUACGUAGGGUGCGAGCGUUAUCCGGAAUUAUUGGGCGUAAAGAGCUCGUAGGCGGUUUGUCGCGUCUGUCGUGAAAGUCCGGGGCUUAA
This 481-nucleotide ribosomal RNA is filed under the name Micrococcus luteus. Its description in RNAcentral is "bacterial SSU rRNA". It matches the Rfam family "Bacterial small subunit ribosomal RNA", at positions 117 to 612 of the family's 1533-position model. The record is from RNAcentral. Lineage: Bacteria; Bacillati; Actinomycetota; Actinomycetes; Micrococcales; Micrococcaceae.